CCUAUGUGCAGUACUUUAUUUCACUCCGUGUUCUUCAGCUCCCUCACUUGAGGCGUCUCUCCAAUGUCUGUCUUUGCUCUGCUGCAGCAGCUGCACAGCGUCCGAUGAAGAAUCCUAACGGCGGUGUCCUGGACCAACAACCUGUUCGUGUGCCCGCGUGAGGGCCUUUUUAGGUGGGGAGAGAAAGGGAGUCCCAUCUCCUCAGUUGCUGACCAGCGCAUGCCUGUGCUUUGUGCCCAGCAAGGCUGUGUUCCCUUGAGAUUACUCGCAACCUGGGGCCUUUGGCCAAGGCUAAACUCAUCUAACAGCUACUUGCAAACCUGUUGACCGUUCCAGCCGAAAAACCUGUGGAAAGCAGUGGAGCUGCUAGCAUGCAUCCUAUGAGCUUGUGUAGAAGGCUGACAUCCCGUCUUGCUCCUAUCAGUCUUAUCAGUGAUAUCCCACCAGCUCCUGGGAAUUCAGCACCAUGUUUGGCUCCCAAGCCUCCUGAGCCCUUCAUUUCCAAGCUGCAGAACCUCCCUCACAUCCACCUAAAAUCAGGUUUAUUUUGGGAGAAGAAAGUAAUGCUCACAGGCAUCACAGCACCAGCUUCUGGAGAGCCAAAUCAUUUCCACGGCUCCUGUUACCUCUUUGAGAGGAGCAAGAAGGAGGAGGAUUGCUGCGGGGAGAGAAACCCAUGGAACUGGAGCGUAACAGAGGAAGAAGGACAAGCUGAGGAGAAAUAACAGAGAGGGAGAACUCUGAGUUUGUGGCCAUCAGAGCAAAGCACAAAAAGGUACGGCAGCGUGACUGUGGGACUAUGAAUCCUUCGCCUUGUCAGGCUGGCUGUGAAAUUACUGUUGGCAUAGUUUGCGCCGGUGUCCAAAUACUGUUAUUUGACCCUCGCUCCCUAAAGGUGGAGGGGGUCGUUAGAAAGCUCCAAAAAAUCUGGGGGUUGACAGCCAGAUUAAGCCAGAUUUAGGAGGACAGCUCUCCCAAGAGCCCAGCCUUGGACAGUGAAGGGGGGGUCGACGCCGCUCUGGGGGGGAGCCGGCUCGGGCAGGAGGCCGAGCGUCGCGGCCCCUUUGAGACUACCCAAGGUAACCACCGCCUCGCAAACCGAUGCACGGGCAGGAGUGAGCGCGGCGUCUCGUUGCUGAAACAGCUGCCUGUUUGUGUGUAAAACUGCAGUGCCAUCCCAUAGCGUUACAUGGCGGCGGCGUGACCUUUAGCAGUCUAUAAAUCAGCGUUGUCGGCUUUUCCACUUUUGCCGUGAGCCUG
This 1260-nucleotide long non-coding RNA is filed under the name Struthio camelus australis. RNAcentral describes it as "lncRNA (ENSSCUG00000002901.1)". Lineage: Eukaryota; Metazoa; Chordata; Aves; Struthioniformes; Struthionidae. The record is from RNAcentral.